This is a small nucleolar RNA of Humulus lupulus (European hop), 241 nucleotides long. RefSeq annotates it as small nucleolar RNA Z112. Lineage: Eukaryota; Viridiplantae; Streptophyta; Magnoliopsida; Rosales; Cannabaceae. The transcript has a single exon. The record is from RefSeq and is a predicted model, not a curated record.
AUCCCAAUGAGGAAGCACUCCCCUAAAAUUGAUAGGAAGUGCCGUAUGACACUUAAACAGCAGAGCGUUCACAAUCGUAGCCAUUGCUCUCUCCCAAUUUCACCACUCGCAAAGCCCUUUUGGCUCCUUUCCUCUGUGGAAACGAUGUCGUUUUCCGGUGUCUCUGUUGAUUGGUUGGGAUAGAGUUUUUGAUUACGGUGCUCGCUCUGUGUGUGUGAUUUUAAACGGGUCUCUGAGGGUU